CCCCCCACAUGUAUGCUCGACCUCGCUGUCGCCGCAGGGGAAUCCGGUGCGAAUCCGGAACUGUCCCGCAACGGUGUGAUCAGUGUGCUUUUGCACACCCGAAGUCCGAAGACCUGUCGACAGCGCGUCCGGCUCG
This 136-nucleotide unclassified non-coding RNA is filed under the name Streptomyces sp. KY70. Lineage: Bacteria; Bacillati; Actinomycetota; Actinomycetes; Kitasatosporales; Streptomycetaceae. The record is from RNAcentral. RNAcentral also lists the same sequence under 1 other name.